GCCGGGCGUGGUGGCCCACGCCUGUAAUCCCAGCACUUUGGGAGGCCGAGGCAGGUGAAUCACUUGAGGUCAGGAGUUCAAGACCAGCCUGACCAACAUGGUGAAACCCCGUUUCUA
This is an unclassified non-coding RNA of Macaca fascicularis (crab-eating macaque), 117 nucleotides long. It matches the Rfam family "Metazoan signal recognition particle RNA". Rfam says of the family: The signal recognition particle (SRP) is a universally conserved ribonucleoprotein. The record is from Ensembl. Lineage: Eukaryota; Metazoa; Chordata; Mammalia; Primates; Cercopithecidae.